This 447-nucleotide ribosomal RNA is filed under the name uncultured bacterium. Its description in RNAcentral is "bacterial SSU rRNA". It matches the Rfam family "Bacterial small subunit ribosomal RNA", at positions 355 to 825 of the family's 1533-position model. The record is from RNAcentral.
UCGGGAAUUUUGGGCAAUGGGCGAAAGCCUGACCCAGCAACGCCGCGUGAAGGAUGAAGUAUUUCGGUAUGUAAACUUCGAAAGAAUAGGAAGAAUAAAUGACGGUACUAUUUAUAAGGUCCGGCUAACUACGUGCCAGCAGCCGCGGUAAUACGUAGGGACCAAGCGUUGUUCGGAUUUACUGGGCGUAAAGGGCGCGUAGGCGGCAAUUCAAGUCAUCUGUGAAAUCUCCGAGCUUAACUCGGAACGGUCAGAUGAUACUGCUGUGCUAGAGUACAGAAAGGGCAAUCGGAAUUCUUGGUGUAGCGGUGAAAUGCGUAGAUAUCAAGAGGAACACCUGAGGCGAAGGCGGGUUGCUAGGCUGAUACUGACGCUGAGGCGCGAAAGCUAGGGUAGCAAACGGGAUUAGAUACCCUAGUAGUCCCUGAGCGGGCUGGCAAGGCGCAU